Molecule: ribosomal RNA, 234 nt
Filed under: uncultured bacterium
Lineage: Bacteria
Description: partial 16S ribosomal RNA
Rfam family: Bacterial small subunit ribosomal RNA
Source: RNAcentral
UGGCGGACGGGUGAGUAAUGUCUGGGAAACUGCCUGAUGAGGGGGAUAACUACUGGAAACGGUAGCUAAUACCGCAUAACGUCGCAAGACCAAAGAGGGGGACCUUCGGGCCUCUUGCCAUCGGAUGUGCCCAGAUGGGAUUAGCUAGUAGGUGGGGUAACGGCUCACCUAGGCGACGAUCCCUAGCUGGUCUGAGAGGAUGACCAGCCACACUGGAACUGAGACACGGUCCAG